RNAcentral lists this ribosomal RNA (497 nucleotides) under uncultured bacterium. RNAcentral describes it as "partial 16S ribosomal RNA". It matches the Rfam family "Bacterial small subunit ribosomal RNA", at positions 28 to 507 of the family's 1533-position model. The record is from RNAcentral.
GAUGAACGCUGGCGGCGUGCCUAAUACAUGCAAGUCGAGCGAACGGACGAGAAGCUUGCUUCUCUGAUGUUAGCGGCGGACGGGUGAGUAACACGUGGAUAACCUACCUAUAAGACUGGGAUAACUUCGGGAAACCGGAGCUAAUACCGGAUAAUAUUUUGAACCGCAUGGUUCAAUAGUGAAAGACGGUCUUGCUGUCACUUAUAGAUGGAUCCGCGCUGCAUUAGCUAGUUGGUAAGGUAACGGCUUACCAAGGCAACGAUGCAUAGGCGACCUGAGAGGGUGAUCGGCCACACUGGAGCUGAGACGCGGUCCAGACUACUACGGGAGGCAGCAGUCGGGAAUGUUCCGCAAUAGGCGAGAGCCUGACGGAGCGACCCCGCGUGAGAGGUGACGGUCUUCGGAUCGUAAAGCUCUGUUAUUAGUGAAGAACAUAUGUGUAAGGAACUGUGCCCAUCUUGACGGUACCUAAUCAGAAAGCAACGGCUAACUACGUG